UAUGGCAGAUUAGUGCAAUGGAUUUAAAUUCCUUUUAUAAAGACCACCUUCUUUUAUUAAAA
Molecule: transfer RNA, 62 nt
Filed under: Temnothorax nitens
Lineage: Eukaryota; Metazoa; Arthropoda; Insecta; Hymenoptera; Formicidae
Description: tRNA-Leu
Source: RNAcentral